This 2778-nucleotide long non-coding RNA is filed under the name Phascolarctos cinereus (koala). RNAcentral's name for it is "lncRNA (ENSPCIG00000031447.1)". Lineage: Eukaryota; Metazoa; Chordata; Mammalia; Diprotodontia; Phascolarctidae. The record is from RNAcentral.
AUGUCUGACCUUUCCACCAAGGCCUCACUCUAUCCACCCCCUGAGGCCUCAUCUGACCAUUUCAUCAAGGCCUCAGAGCCCUCUCCCACCCCCAAGGCUCCAGAACCCUCCCCCUUCCUCAUAGCUCUAGAGCCCUCCCCCUCCCCGAAGGCUCCAGAACCAUCCUCCCUGCCCAAGGCUCCAAAGUCCUCCCCCUUCCCCAUGGCUCCAGAGCCCUCCAUCUCCCCCAAGGCACCAGAGCCUUCCCCCUUCCCCGAGGUUCCAGAACCCUCCCUGCUCUCCAAGGCUGCAGAGCUCUCUACCUCUUCCAAGGUGCCAGGGCCUUCUCCCUCCCCUAAGGCUCCAGAACCUUCCCCCUCCCCCAGGGAUCCAGGACUCUCCCCCUUCCUCAAGGAACCAGAGUCCUCCACCAUCCUAAAGGCUCCAGAGCGCUCUGGACCCACUAAAGCCACACCUGAACAGCCAGACAAAGCCUCACCUAAAGGCUUCAUGAAAUGGCUAUUUUACCCAUUUUACCCAUUUAUCAAAGCCUCCUCCAAACACCCUAAAAAAUCCUCAUUCCAUCCAACUACCAAGGCCUCACCUCACCGUGUCAUCAAGGCCCCACAGCCCUCCCCCUCUCCCAAGGCCCCACAGCCCUCCCCCUCUCCCAAGGCUCCAGAGCCCUCCCCCUCCCCCAAGGCUCCAGAACCCUCCCUCUCCCCCAAGGCUCCAGAGCCUUCACCCUCUCCCAAGGCUCCAGAACCCUCCCCCUCUCCCAAGGCUCCAGAACCCUCCCUCUCCCCCAAGGCUCCAGAGCCUUCCCCCUUUCCCAAGGCUCUAAGGCCCUCCCCUUCUCCCAAGGCUUCAGAACUCUCCCCCUUCCCCAAGGCUCUAAGGCCCUCCCCCUCCCCCAAGGCCCCAGAACCUUCCACCUCUCCCAAGGCUCCAGAACCCUCCCACUUCCCCAAGGCUCCAAGGCCCUCCCCCUUCCCCAAGGCUCUAAGGCCCUCCCCCUCUCCCAAGGGCCCAGAACCCUCCCCUUCUCCCAAGGCCCCAGAACUCUCCCCCUUCCCCAAGGCUCUAAGGCCCUCCCCCUUCCCCAAGGCCCCAGAACCUUCCACCUCUCCCAAGGCUCCAGAACUUUCCCCCUUCCCCAAGGCUCCAAAGCCUUCUGGCCUCACUAAGGCCACACCUGAACAGUCAGCUAAAGCCUUACCCAAACACUCCAAGAAAUCCUCAUUCCAUCCAACUACCAAGGCCUCAUCUCACCAGUCUACCAAGGACUUAGCAGCACACCCUAUUAAGGCCUCAGCCGACAAGGAUGUCAAGUCCACAGACACUUCACUCUCCAGUUACUACUCAAAGAAGACCUCACUCUCCUGGUCCCCCAGAGCCUUACCCAAACACUCCAAGAAAUCCUCAUUCCAUUCAACUACCAAGGCCUCACCUCACCAUUUCAUCAAGGCCCCAGUACCCUCCCCCUUCCCCAAGGGCCCACAACCCUCCCCCUCUCCCAAGGCUCCAGAACCUUCCCCCUCUCCUAAGGCUCCAGAACCCUCCCCCUUUCCCAAGGCUCCAGAACCUUCCCUCUUCCCCAAGGGCCCAGGGCCCUCCCCCAAGGCUCCAAAGCCCUACCCCUACCCCAAGGGCCCAGAGCCUUCCCCCUCCCCCAAGGCUCCAGAACCCUCCCUCUCCCCCAAGGCUCCAGAACCCCCUUACUUCCCCAAGGGCCCAGAGCCUUCCCCCUCCCCCAAGGCUCCAGAACCCUCUGGACCCACUAAGGCCACACCUGAACAGUCAGCCAAAGCCUCACCUAAAGGCUUCAAGAAGUGGGUGUUUUACCCAUUUACCAAAGCCUCCUCCAAACGAUCCAAGAAAUCCUCAUUCCAUCCAACUACCAAGGCCUCACCUGACCAUUUCAUCAAGACCCCAGAGCCCGAGCCCUCUCCCAAGGCCUCAGAGCCCUCCCCCUCCCCCAAGGCUCCAGAACCCUCCCUCUCCCCCAAGGCUCCAGAACCCUCCCUCUCCCCCAAGGCUCCAGAGCCUUCCCCCUCUCCCAAGGCUCCAGAACCCUCCCGCUCUCCCAAGUCUCCAGAACCCUCCCCCUUCCCCAAGGCCCCAAGGCCCUCCCCCUUCCCCAAGGCUCUAAGGCCCUCCCCCUCUCCCAAGGGCCCAGAACCCUCCUCCUCUCCCAAGGCUUCAGAACUCUCCCACUUCCCCAAGGCUCCAGAACCCUCCCCCUUCCCCAAGGCCCCAGAGCCCUCCCCCUUCCCCAAGGCCCCAGAGACCUCCCCCUUCCCCAAGGCUCCAAAGCCUUCUGGCCUCACUAAGGCCACACCUGAACAGUCAGCUAAAGCCUUACCCAAACACUCCAAGAAAUCCUCAUUCCAUCCAACUACCAAGGCCUCAUCUCACCAUUUCAUCAAGGCCCCAGUACCCUCCCCCUUCCCCAAGGGCCCAGAACGCUCCUCCUCUCCCAAGGCUCCAGAACCUUCCCUCUUCCCCAAGGGCCCAGGGCCCUCCACCUUCCUAAAGGCUCCAGAGCCCUCUGGCCCCACUAAGGCCACACCUGAACAGUCAGACAAAGCCUCACUCAAACACUCCAAGAAAUCCUCAUUCCAUCCAACUACCAAGGCCUCAUCUCACCAGUCUACCAAGGACUUAGCAGCACACCCUAUUAAGGCCUCAGCCGACCAGGAUGUCAAGUCCACAGACACUUCACUCUCCAGUUCCUCCCUUGGGUCCGCUGUUGUCUCACUCAUGCUGUCCACUCCAUACUCCAGCAGUCACUCAUAG